GGAGGAGUGCCAGAGCGGUUGAAUGGGGCAGUCUCGAAAACUGUUGUGCAGGCAACUGUACCGUGGGUUCGAAUCCCACCUCCUCCUCCA
RNAcentral lists this transfer RNA (90 nucleotides) under Alphaproteobacteria bacterium CG_4_10_14_0_8_um_filter_37_21. RNAcentral's name for it is "tRNA-Ser". It matches the Rfam family "tRNA". Rfam says of the family: Transfer RNA (tRNA) molecules are approximately 80 nucleotides in length. Lineage: Bacteria; Pseudomonadati; Pseudomonadota; Alphaproteobacteria. The record is from RNAcentral.